AAUAAUUACAACGCCGGCCCAUAGGGCCUGGCAUGGAUUAACGGUGCAAGGUGACUAGGGCGAGAGGGCCCGUCCCCCUCACGCUGACGCCUCACCACGAAAGAGUCACAACCUCCGAAACUACAACCUCCAAGUCCUAGGCCGCUCUUCAAAGUCCACUACAUCCAAGCCUGCACACCUAGCAUAUCGAGCUAGGGAAACGCCACAUUAUAGUAGUGGAGCACUGCCAGUUCGUGCAAACCGAGGAGUCAUGGCGCUCCUCCUCGAGCCUUGGAUCUUGAGCCUUGUCUUGAACCUUGGACCUCGCCACUAAAUAGGACUUCUGCACCACGACCUUUCUAGGUUGCAGCGGGCAUAAGCCCGCAAUUGCCACUAAGGGCAAUUACCUAUCGUUCGUGGGAUCACCAAUCGGUUUCGCACCAAUCUUUCGCCUUUUGCAUAAUUGGGCUUUUAUCCGGAUUCGUACCCGGGUCCCUUCUGCCGUAAGGACGAAUCAAAUCGCUAACUGAGUUAGCGAUCCGGUGAUGGCUAGGACCAGGGGGGCAUGCCAAGAAUCAUGGCACCGCUCACCCCCGCACUAGGACACCUACACACGACCGAAACGUUAAGCAAAAGCUUGAUUUUGACGUGCCCAACCUAGAAGAGAUGGACCCGGACACAGCUGCGACCCUAGCGCAGGCGCAGAAUGAUCUUCAGCCCGGCGCCCAAGCCACUUACGCCUUCUCCUCGGCUCCGCUAGCUAUACUUGGUGGCAUGCUCGCCGACGGGACCCUUAACCUUAUCUUUGGCGCUGCCGGCGUGGGCAAGACGACCGUCGUUGCGUACUUGAUUAUGGCCCUUCUCGCCGGUGGCUGCAUUUUUGGGCGGCCUUGCGCUCCCCUGGUAGCGCGCGAUGACAACGGUGUCGCAUUGGUUUCACGUAUCCUGGUAUACGAGGGCGAGAACCGCGCUUCCGAGGCACAGCAACUCGUCGCAGCUGUCGCAUCGGCGUUUGGGACUUCUGCGGCUCUCAUCGAUAUCGACCACCAGGUGCGCUAAAUGUGUUAUCGUGAUGAAAACACUUAUUAUUGACUCGAAUGUCUACUUAUUUGGUUCCAUGUCGUUGUCGUUUGCAGAUAAAAUUUAUGCGAGUCGGCCACGGCGGGUUUUCAUGGAGGCGAGUCAAGGACCCUCAAGCCAGUGACGAAGGUUUAUUUCUGGAGACUGGACUAAUUCAGGUCAUUCGCAACGCCAUCUUGGACCGAUCCGUGUGUUGUGUCGUCCUCGACUCCCUGCUCAGCCUCUUGCGUUACGACCAAGCUUCUGCCAACAACCCCAACGUUAUGAUGAGCUUGUUACAGGUGUGUGUAUGUGUUUGUAAGUCUGUAUGUGACAUGUCCGUAUGGGAAGGGGGGGGGCAUCUGCAGACAUGUGUGUGGACGCGUGUCACAGUAUUGCGCUGCACACACUCCUUCGAUCUUACAUCUUAUCCGGUGCUGCGCAGGACCUGUUUACGUUAUGUGCAAUUCGUGGCGUCACAAUCAUUUUGUUACAUCAUGUCAACAAGAAGAGUGCCGGCAACAUUGCUGCUGGUGCACGAGUAAAUGCUUCAAUGCUUUCUGGGUCGUCCAGCAUUACCAACAACGUACAGCAUAUCAUUGGUAUUCAGAACCACACGGAUCCCGGAUGGGUCGAGGUGAGCAUGUCUGGGGGGAGAGCGUUUGGUAUGUGGCUGUGGCUUUCUGGGGCUUCUCUGUGCACAGCUGUAGCUUUGUUGCCUGAGCUGUCUCACCCUAUAGAUGCAUUUUUACUGACACCAUGCUUCCUUUUGCAUGCAGAUUGAGGUCGUGAAGAGUAAUGUUACAAGCACUGGGCUUGUCAGCUAUCUCAACACUUCCCGGCCUCUUGACUUCUCAAUGAUCACACCCCCGUCACUGGGCCAUCAAUCCAAUACCUCCACCGACACUCAGCUUGCUAUGAUGAAAAUGGUAGCUAAUAGUGGCCGGCACGGUGCAUUAUGGUUGGCUAUUGAGACAUCGUUGGGUGGCAAACCUACGGACCUAAUGGAUGCACGCGACGCCCUUUAUCGACAACAGCUUGUUUACCACAUUCAGGGCUCCGACAGGUACGGUUCGUUCAUGCUUUCGGGAUCCCUUGCUGCGGUUUGGCUAAUCACACAAUCGUAUGUGCUCCGCAGGGGUGGUUCUGACACACGCUGGUUCUUAACGGACAAUGGCGUCCGCUGGCUGGCUCAGCAACAGCAAGAGCAGACAGCAUAAUAAUAAUAAUUACAACGCCGGCCCAUAGGGCCUGGCAUGGAUUAACGGGGCAAGGUGACUAGGGCGAGAGGGCCCGCCCCCCUCACGCUGACGCCUCACCACGAAAGAGUCACAACCUCCGAAACUACAACCUCCAAGUCCUAGGCCGCUCUUCAAAGUCCACUACAUCCAAGCCUGCACACCUAGCAUAUCGAGCUAGGGAAACGCCGCGUUAUAGUAGUGGAGCACUGCCAGUUCGUGCGAACCGAGGAGCCAUGGCGCUCCUCCUCGAGCCUUGGAUCUUGAGCCUUGUCUUGAACCUUGGACCUCGCCACUAAAUCGGACUUCUGCACCACGACCUUUCUAGGUUGCAGCGGGCGUAAGCCCGCAAUUGCCACUAAGGGCAAUUACCUAUCAUUCGUGGGAUCACCAAUCGGUUUCGCACCAAUCUUUCGCCUUUUGCAUAAUUGGGCUUUUAUCCGGAUUCGUACCCGGGUCCCUUCUGCCGAAAGGACGAGUCAAAUCGCUAACUGAGUUAGCGAUCCGGUGAUAAGAGCAGACAGCACGUGUUCGUGGUGUUCUGAGUACUGCGCCUGCGCAAACUGGCAUGCCGUUCCAGCAACACGCAGCCCCCUCGUCAGCCCUCCAACCCCCCCCCACCGCCGCCGCCUCCUCCCCGUCCGGUACCAGCCCAGCAUGCGCAUUUUGGCCCUACUGGUGUUACGUUUCCCCCGCCUCCUCCUCCCCGUCCUGUACCAGCCCAGCGCCCACUGUUUACUGGCAUGGCUGGUCUUGCCUUCCCCCCUCCUCCCUCCCUUGUUCGUAACACUAAUGCACAGCAUCAUCACGCGCAGACUGGUGGCUCAGCUUUUUCUCAGCCGCCGCCUCCAGCGCCCAUUCCCCAAAACCCCCCUGUCUAUGGUGGCAGCACUGGCGGUGCUGGUGGUGCAUAUGUUUACAAAUGUGGCACAAAUGUGUCUCAGCCACACCACGCACGAGUUAGUGUUUUCCCUUCAGUGACAGGCGUUGCACCUACCUACUCCCAUGUUUCUGUCCCUGCUCCCAUGGCUCCACAGCCAGCAGCUAUGCCUCCUAUGCGCUCGAUAUCUGUUCGGCAGCCGGUACCUGGCCACAAUCCAGCGCCUCCCGUGUACGGUGCUGGAGGCGCUGGUACUAUUGCCUCUCACCUGCCAAUCCCCUCUCGCAACAUUCUGGUUCCCACUGUACCAAUCGGCACUCACUACCAGGGCACGCCAGCGUCCCAUCGUACUCCUGGUCCAGCCCCUAUGCGCCGCGUGUCCCCGGUGCCUUUUUACGUUGGCAUGCCGCUACAGGCUGUUCCUGGUGUCCACCGGUCGCGCACACUGUCAUCUACACCUUCGGUUUCCAUUGCUGCAACACCCCAGUCCCGUGUACUUCCAACACCCACUGUUGCGGAAAGUCCGCCAAUUCCCACUGACCAGCUUCAAGGUAUGUGAGGCUUCGGCAUUCAUAAAUUGCGUCUACUUAACCAAAUCUUUUCCACAGGAUUUGUUGAAAAUACACUUAGACAGCCAGACAUCCGGCAGUACAUUGUGCUUCUAUUAUGCAACAACACACUACCAGAGUUCAUUGCUAGAAACAUUGUUAACAGCCAGUCCAUGUGGCACCUAGUUAUGCCAGUACUCGCGCCAUCUUCAUCAGUCAAGCGCAAUGUGGAGCAGCGCCUAGAGAGUGUUGUACUGAUGUGCGCUGAUCAGAGCUGGCUGUUUGAUACCUUGCUGGCCUACAUUACGGGUUUGAACGACCAGGCUCACGCCCAAUUCGGUAAGCAACAGUGUCAGUUUUAGUUUGGGUCCCCUGUGUUGGGGCCCCUUGGGUCUCUUGGAUUGCUUGUUACAGGGCAUUUUUGUGCGCAUUUUUCGUUCGCUUCCUUAGCAUCUUCUUUUUCUCCCUAACCAUCUAUCUCACUAAGCUUCUUUCUUCUUGCCCCCUUAUGCGCCCUCCCCCCCAUUUCGCCCCACCCUCCAGACGAGCGGCGGGUGGCCAUUGGCAGAUAGCAUGAAGACAUUCCCAUGGCAGCUGACUUCGCAGCUGCCAGCUUUUUGGGUAAGCAAUGAGGGUUUGAAUUCUGGAUCUCUGCAGAUGUCCUGCUGUCUGCAUUACCCAGGCUAUCUCUCUCUCACCCCGGCCCUCGUGUGUUCAAUUUGGCUGUGUGCUGUUUGCAACCCGUCCAUGAUCUGAGGAACCCUGUUUUCCCUUCACCCGCCCCCGCCCCAGGCAAUGAGACAAAGGGAGCUACUGACAAGUUUGCUACAAUUGGAGACUCACAGCAAUCUAUCGCAGCGAAGUCUGGACACACCAAAUGAUACCACAAACACAUGUGUAACUUCGUAUUCGUGACAUGACUCCUGUACCUCUCUCUCUACCAGUUAUCAAAUAGGUGCUGCGCAGCAGGGCUCUGCAAAUAUUCUCGCACUUGUACCCGAUUCAGCCGGGACCAGUCACCACCAAAUUGCCGCAAAAGCGCCUCCUCCCAGCCCUCAAGCAUCUGUCCAUGGCGCCAGGCCUGACCACGAAUGUAGCGACGGUUGGCAUGCAUGUACAUGUUAGUAAGCUGACAACACAGCGCGAAUACCGAAUUAGCCCGGUGCAGACCAUGGCGCCAUGUUCCCGACAAAAUACGGAACUUUGAUUUCAUGGCUCCAAACAGGAACUCAAUCACCACGCGCUGCCUCCGAACCUCCCUAUUGAAUGCCCGUUGCCCCUGUGUCAGCGUGGGGCGUGCAACAUAUGGUACUGUCACGUUGCCACAUCCCAUGAAUCCACAGUCUGCUAUAAGCCGUUGCCCCUGCGCAAAGUAUGCUUGUUUGUUUGUGUACAGGUCACACGACUUAUAAGCCACGCUGUCGUGGGUCCUUCCAUAAAACCCUACGCGUAUCGCACGUAUGCAGCCCCGCCAGUCGCACACAACUAGGUGAUUCAAGAAGUGGCGUUUUUUGCGGCCAUUGUAGUAAAGGGGCUCGUCGGCACCAGGGCGACAGAUAUACUGCACGGUCCCGUCCACAACCCCCACAACCCCAAAGCGUGUCAGGGCCCCGGCCUGCCGUGCAAGUGUAUUUCGCUCAGCGGCACCCGGCCACCUUAUUUGAUCCUCAGUAGCAGCUAACAAACACUCACAAACGUGCCAAAAAUUGUCGCAGACCGAAGCCACGUUGAGCCCUGACAUGGCACACAACCGAACCAGCCUAUCAUCAUCUUUCAGUCGCACCAAGCAAAGAAACAAGCGUGUUGCUGGGCUCAGUUUAUGUGGGCGCCCACCGCGAGUUCGCCGCUGCCGAGCCAGCCCACGGCCGCCACGAGGAUCGCGGGGCUUCAGAAUGUAGCUCCUCGGCAUCGCAGGGUCCAUGAGCUUUGCUAACAGAUUUUGAAACUGGGUUGGCGUGAAAUUGGUCAUGGCCUUGAACAGCACAUCGUUUGGUGCGUAUUGCGAGUAUAAUUCUUUCGCAUCGCCCGCGCCAUACGUGAUACCUAGCCGGGCAUGCUUCUCCAGGCGGUGAAUAAGAAUAAGGCAAAGCAUGAGACAACUUGUGACAGUCGACGUCGACAAGAGCGACGCAAUUGUGGUCGCGAUAAACGCAUUUUGUAGAUUGCACCAAACUAAUAGAAUAAGCAGUUCAGUUUGAGACAUGUUCACCUGUUCUAGUGUAGUCGAGGGCUUCGCCAGGAGGGUAUAAGGCGAUGGGGGGCACGAUCGAUGCAGCGACGCCUAACUUUGUGUGCACGCCUUAGCAAACCCGUGACACAGAUUUCGCGCCCCUUGGCGUGGCACAGUUUUUGUCAACGAAACUUUGUGAUUGUGAGGUAUUCUAAAUCCUCUAUUAGGUACAAGCUUGCAACAGAAUCUGAUGCAAUAGUGAGCUUCUUAUUUGCAAAUUCUUUACCCUCGCCACCAAAUUCUGCGAGGGCAGCACGAAUUGCUGCCAAUUCAGCUCUCGUAAUAGUGUUAGUCCGGAGUCACAAGACACUACACGUCACUACAAGUUCAGUUAGGCAGGUCACCGAAGCCGUGCUUCGAACUAGCAACAAGAAUCCCUUUGCUUGUACACUGUCAACAAAAGAAUAUCCUUUAUCAAACUCAAGCUUCAGGCCUGCUCUCACGUGGUUGAUGAAGUGUCGCGCAACCAUAAGUCAACCGGCCAAUCGUGUGUGUGCCGUGCCAGCCCGACACGUCCCACACACUCACUUAUGCACUGUUCAUACAAUCCCAUGGCUCAUAACCUACACGGAAACUCGAUGCAGCAGACAAUAUAGUACAACGCCACCACGGAACGCUCCUAAGCUGGUCUGGGGCGGUUUAGGCUGCGCUCCUCACGGUCUGGGGCACAGCUCCCAUAGGCGAAUUAGGCCUGUGGUAACCGGGUGGUAGGGAGACACAAAACACACAUUUAAACUAUGCAGCAAAGUGUGGCGUGGUGAGAAAUUCUGGCUGCCAUGUAUUCAACCCACAGCUGUGAGUUUCCGUCGGCAACCCUUGCCCGUCCCUUGGGCAAGCAGGCAGGCAGAUUUCGAACAUGCCCUUCAGGAUAAUCCUAGCAAUGCGCCUCUCAAUACCCACAUAACCUGCACCCUUCCAUCUCACCGCGUGCCAGGAGGCCUCGCCGUCGAAGGGCGCCAGCGGGUUGUUGCGGAGGUAGUCCCGCACGGCCGACACGAUGUGCGGGCGGAAGUCCACCACGAAGCGUGCGAAGGCGGCCUCCACCAUGCGCAGGACCGGCAGGAACUGCGCGAUGUUGUCGUACAUCGUCGGCAGGCCGAACUCCUGAAGGCCGGGAACCACCAUGGAGUCCGCGGCGGCGUGGCCGUUGCAGGCGCGCGAGGCGAUGAGGCCCGCGUCGGAGGGCAGGAUGUAGGUCAGCCGCAUCUGCAGCUCGUUGGCAAACAUGGCCGUCAGCUGCGCGAACUCAGCCUGCUGCUUCUGGUAGGCCUGGAACGUCUCCAGCAGGUGGUUAACGGUUUCCUGCUGGUGCUGCCGCAGGGCGUCGUUCUCGUUGUGAGCAAACGCGAGCUCCCCCUCAGCCAUCUCGUGUGUCUCCCGGAGCUCGGUGAUAGUGUCGGUCGCAGAAGCGAGCCUCUCCUCAAGGUCCACCACCUUCUCGUUGGCGCGCUCCAGCUCAAACUCCCGGCGAAGAAGCUGGCGCUGAGCGUGGUCGACCUCGAACAGGGCCUCGCGGGCGAAGCCAGCGCCGGGGGCGCGAAUGUGGGCCUACACAUGGUGUCACAAGUAUCAAGUAAGCAAAACAAAUAUAGAAACAUCAACUGCAGAGAAUAAGCCCUCAGACUGGGCACCAAAUUCACGAUGAACCCUAGAUCCAAAGUAAACCCCUUCCCAAAGCAACAGCGUAGUCCCUAGCCAUGCUGCGUCUUAUUUAUGUUUAGAAAACCUAAUCAAAACGCACACCUGCGCGAUGGCGUAGGCGCGCGACGCCGGGCUAGCGUGGUACAGCCGCAGCAGCCCUGGAAAUAAAAGACACAUACACACAGUCAAACAAACAGCUCGAAAAAUCAAUAAACAACAACCGUGACGGCGCAAGCGGUUUUGUAGGGUUACCCGGCCCGCAUGUCUGGCCUCCACUCACCGCGCUCGCUGGUGCUGGUCGAGGAGCCGCUCUUGAGGCUCGUGCCAGCGCUGGAGCCCAUGCCCAGGCCACGCAGCUCGUCGGCGAGUUCCACGGAACGGACCGAGCGCAUGGCGCGACCGAGGGUGCGGUGGCGAUGGUAGUACAUGGUGGAGGUGGCUGUCUUGUCAAGAGUAGACAAGGUAAGACCAAUAGGAAACGCCUUAUGGCCGCCGGGUUGCCGUCCUCUUCUUCCCCAUCCGUUCAAUUUGCCGUACACUUUCCAGGGUCGUGCCGGGUCGACACGCACGACCUUUCGUUCCAGUAGCCAGAAUCGCCUUCUUGCGCCUGGUGCUCAACCAGAGUGGUUUGGGGCGGAGAAGCCUGCCCGUCACCACAAGGGUUUUUUUAGGGCGUUGCCCCCGCACGACGCCCCGUGACUGUUUGGACAGAAUAAAUAGAUACAAACUCAACAUACACACAGGGCACACGAGUUCUUAAACUAGAUAUCAAACGCUUGCAGCCUCUAGGGUUCGUAGGCGGACUGCGAAUACGCAGGGCAACAGACCAGAAGACACACAGGAGACCCGGGAGUUCUUGCACACCAACGGGUGUGUGGGCUCUUCGCAGGCGCUACCCCAACUAUUUUCUGCGCCAGCGGCCUCUUUUACUCCGCAUAACUUACACGCUCACACGCAUCCCUGGGAAGUUUUGGCACACCAACGGGUGUGUGGGCUCUCUGCAGGCACUUUCCCAACUCUCUUCUGUGCCUGCGGCCUCUUACUUUCCCUUGUUGUAUCCCAACACGCAUGCCAAUCAGGUACCUUCAUCCAAGUGGAUUACGUCUGCCGGGACAUAUGGACGUCCGUCGGACUGCCUUACUUUCCAGCCGUGGGCUGUGCAAGUAAGUGUCGCACGGGGAAAAUGAGUUCUGACCCCGCACCAUCCGUGACUUUCACAAGCGUGCCUGUGAUGUCAUAAGAAUGGAAGGCGUACGGGCCUUCACGCCCUGAGUCCAACUUGGUUUUGGGUACUCGUGAGAUCUACACCAAUGCCCCCUUUCCCAACGCAGGUAAGUGGGCGUACCUGGGGUCAUCAAGCUCAUCGGCGCUACCGGGGUCAGCCUGGGUAGGGCAUGGACACACCGUAGCAGGCCCCGUCCAGCGUCGCUUGUGGUUCUGAGCGACCGCAGACUUGGUGAGGCACGGAUCACGACGAUCAGCAUCCUUGCUAGCAUCCCCAUAGGCGCCCGUACCGGGUGUUGCCUGUGGGGGUGGUGACUGUGGCUCAGUCACGGCCAGCAAGCUCUUUCUCACCUUCUUCUUGGUAGGGGGUGCCAUCAUAACGUCAUCAUCCGUGGUGACGGUGGUGGCAGCUGUAGUUGCCUCUGGGACGUUGGCCUUGUCCCUUGUCGGGACGCCAGUGGUAGCCCCGUGGGCGGCUGCGGUAGGGGUUGCACGGCGGGGUCCGCGGGGACGCGGGGGUUGGUUCUUGUAGGUGCGGUUGGCGUAGUUCUUGAUGUCCCGCUCUUUUGCCUUCACAAGGUUGGCGUCAAUUCUUCGAGCCAACUCAGUCAUGGCAGUGUUGCGACAUUGCAACUGCUCCAACUUCCGUGCCUCGUCUCCCUCGCUUUCCCCUUCAGUGGCAUCCGUUCCCUCAGAUUCGAGAGUACGGCUGAGCACAAGCUCUUUGCCAUAGAGAGCAAGCGCAGGUGAGACUUUGGUGGAACGGUGGGGUUCUGCGCGCAGGGAGAAAACAACACGGAACAGGUCACGGUCCCAUUGCUCUUCCUCCUGCAAUACGCGCAUGAGGCGGUCACGGAUUACUCCGUUCACCACCUCAACGGCCCCAUUAACGUUGGGUGCGCGAGCAGCGCCCGAGCGCUGCUUGAUACCGUAGGUAGAGCAGAGCUCAGCAAAAGCGCCUUUGAAUUCUGACCCGCCGUCAGACCACACCACCUUCCAUGGCCCGAACAGGUCAAUAUGGACGCGGCCAAACAGUGGCUCAAUGCUGAGCGGGUUGAGGUGCGGAACCUUCACGGGGCGCACCCGUGCCUCUUGGCACGGACGACAGUUGUACACAUACACCUUCGCGUCGUGCUGCAUUGCGCGCCAGGUGUACCGAUGGCGCAACAAUUGGUAAGUGCGGGAUGCGCCCGGGUGGGCUAGGUCGUGCACCUCCUUGAGGGCCGCCAUGCGCUCACUGAGGCAUAGCACCCGCACAGCAGGACGGGUUAAUAAUAAUAAUAAUAAUAAUAGCUACGCACGGGCCAACGGCCCCGCGUGUCUUAAGGAAGAGUCCUUCUUAGAACCCUACCGUACCCCUGUGGGACCCUGACUAGAGGCACCCCACGCAUCACCCUCUACUCAGCUCAUAGGAUCCGAAGAUCUGAGCUUAUCGGCCUACCAACCCUCCGAAUUCGGCCAGCGUAGAGUUUCCUCGUUGCACCAAUGGGAUCCGAACCCAGAGGGUCGAUACAACGAUUCUUCGGUGCCACGGUAGCCACGGACUCCAUACCGGAACACCUACGGUGAGGGGGGUGGGAUCCGAACCCACGACCUCAACCUUAUCCGCCGGGAAACGGGCCGAAUACGAGAUUCGAACCCGGGUCCGCAGGGUGAUAAGGAAGUGCUCUUACCUACUGAGCUACCCCCCCUCAGGACGCAGGACGGGUUUUAGUUGGGGUACGGUACAGGUGGUCGUCCUUCCAAAAGUAGUGUUGGGCCUUGCGUGCAACCCGGGAGUUGGGGGCAAGGAUUAGCGUACCUUGCGCCUUGGUGCGUAGGAAGUCCAGAAGUUCUCUGUCGUUCCACACUGCACAUUCACGGGUACCAUAAUUCCAGGUGCCCUCCCGGAUUUCUCCCUCCUCAAGAUCCCAAUCACUCCCUUCAUCUUCCCCCUCUCCAGAUUCGUCUUCCGGAUCAAGCGACACUUCACUCAUGUAAGUGUCACUGUCAGCCGGCGACGCCUGGUAGUCGGAGUCGGAGCCAGAAUCAUCAACUGGCGGAUGGUGGGUAGUGACAGGUCCUGAAGCGGGGGCCGAUGGGGCAUGAGAUGGCUGGGACCCACUGGGGCCCGCCUGGGUUGGGUCCUGCCUCUGGACCCCAGUAGUCUGAGCCAGGGAGCCAUCUUCAGGUGCCGGGGCGCAUGGGGAAGCGACAGCAGUAGCGGCUACCGCAGCCUCCUUGGCACGCUGGGUGGCCAUGGUCAGGGGCUUUGGCGUGCGCCAGGCGGCGACCUUCUUGGCAGUAGCCGUGGCGUGCCGCUCUGCAGCAUGAUCAGGGCAAAACCAUUUACCCUUGGGUACAGCGCGUAGCGCUGGGGUAAGGCAAUCGGUAUGGCAUCCAUGCGUCUCGCCGGGGGCGUCGCAUAACACCAGGUUGUUUGCCGGUUGGCCCUCCCCACAGAUCAAGCACCUCACGCUGUCAUCACUGCUGGUGGGUUCGUGAGGAGCAUAAUCUUGGAGUAGGCGGUUGGGUUGGCGGUACCGCUUGCCCUUCGCAUCAGCUGCGGCAGCAGUUGUUGCGGCGGGUACCUGCCGAUCACCCACAUCAAAGCGGACACGGGGACCGUUGUCGCCACCGGCGGCAGUUUCCUGCGAGGGCGGCUCGGUCUCAUCAUCCUCGGACGUGGGUAAUUUGGGAGAGUUGGUUGGCUGGGUAGGUGGUAGGAUGGGCUGAGUCGGCGUAGGCACGUCCUGAGCGGGUGCCGAGGCUACGUUAGCAGGCUGCCGGGCGGCAGUAGUUGUAGCCAUUGGCGCGUUGACACGUCGCGGCUCAGGGCCUUGCGGUGGUACCGGCGGAGCUAUAGGCACUCCUCGCGGGGCGGCCGCGGCUGGCCUAGCCGGAAGGUAACGGGUCAUGAGCCAUUCACGGUCUACGCCCCGGUAGGAGUCGGUAAUGCCGUCCGACAGCAUGAUCUCGAUGGCGUGUUGACGGUGAGAGGUAGUCGUGACGGCGUGAGGUGGACGGGCGCAGCGCGAAGCAAGAAAGGUGCUAGGCGUCGUGCAUAGGUCAAGGCCGGUAGUGCAGGGAUCCGUGGGCAGUUGCUCUUCGGCAGGUAGGCCAGGGGGUUCGAAGCAAUCUUCGAGCUCCAGGCGUGUUAGUCCGUCAGCAACGGAGUUGGUAGCGCCGGGCCGGUGGCGAAUCUCCAUGUCGUACUGCAUCAGCCGCAUGGCCAGACGAGCAAGUUUGCCCGUCAGAUUCUUGGACGUGAGCAGGAACUUGAUUGCAGAAUGAUCGGUGUAGAGAAUGAAGCGGCCUGUGCCGUACAGAAACGGAUGGAAACGUGUAACGCCGAAUACGGCCGCAAAUGCCUCUCCAUCCACGGAAGCCCAGUUGAGAGCGGGGCCGGUCAGGCGCUUGGAUGCGUAGCUGACAACAUACUCACGCCCUUGGUCAUCGCGUUGGGAGAGACAGGCCGCAACAGCAUGGCGUGCCCAAUCCACCGAAAGCUCAAACUGUCGACCCCAGUCAGGAGCACGCAGAAUGGGUUCGGAAGUAAGGGCAUCGCGCAGCUGUUCAUAGGCGCUUUGCUCCUCAUCCCCCCAUCUCCAUUGUGUGCGUGGCGAGCACAGGUUGUAGAGUGGGCGAGCGAUGCUGGCAUAAUCCUUCACCCAGCACCGGAAGUAACCCGUGAUGCCCAAGAACGCCUUCACUUGGCGUGGGGUCCUGAGCUGGGGGUACUUCUUGAGGUUGGCAAUGUGCUUGGCCGCGGGUUUGAUCUCGCCGGUGGUGCCAUUAAUGGCAUGACCCAGGAAGGUCAACUCGGGGGUGUAGCACUCAAAUUUGUCAACACUCACACGUAGUCCGGAGAUGCGGAGGAGUGUGAACACGUCAGACAACACACGGCAGUGGUCCUGUAUGUUAUCGGCGUAUGCGGCCACAUCAUCUACCCAGCUCUGCACGCUGAUGUUCAGGAGGGGCCGCAGCACCGCCUGCAUUGCACGGCAGUAGUAGGCAGGAGAGCUGCGGAGCCCUUGGGCCGCUCGGCAGAACUCAUACUGCCCACCUAGGCGGCUGGCAGUAGGCACCGCGAAUGCUGUGCAUUCACGGCUGCGUUCGUUUAAUUCCAGUUGGAAGAACCCGGACACGGCAUCCAUACUGGAGAAACGGCGCGUGGCAGGGGGAUUGGGGGUUAGGCGUUGAACUUGCUCAUCCACGUGGCCCAUGGGCCACUGGACUGGUUUAGUAACCGAGUUCAGCAUCCGGUAGUCCAGGACGCAACGGUAGCCCUUCCCAGGUCCCUUUGGAAUCAUGAUGACUGGUGCGCACCAGGGGGAGCACGAGGGCCGAAUCACACCGGCGGCAAGUAGCCUUUCCACUUCAUCGUGUAGGGCUUCCAACUCUACACGCGACAUGCGGUAGGGCUGGAUGGCGAUGGGGGUAGCAUCACCAGUGUCAAUGUCCAUUUCCACCCAAGUGCAGUGACCCAGUUGACUGUUAUUCAGGGCAAAGACGUCAUAGUUGUCCCGCAGGCACUGACGUAGCAUGUCCUGUUCAGCAGGGGUAGCACUGGUGGGGACACGGUCCAUUAGCGCAGAUACAACCGCGGCGUCUUCGUUCGCCUGGCGGUCUUGCAAAGUCUGCGCCGCGUAGGUCCGUGCGGUUGCCAGUUGCUCUUCAGGCGUAAGUCGCAUGACGUAGCUGAAGUCAGGCAAAGGCUUGGCUGGGAUUUGCGAAGCACCGUACCUCGGAUGGGCCGCCUUGAGGUCGGGAGUGUCCAGUGAUAACCACCAAUCACCAGCUUCGUCCUCUACCUCCGUGUCAGAGGUAUCGGUGGGGGAUGCCAGGGCCCAGUCGUGCCAGUCAUCGUCCUGAGAGCCCCACUCGUCUUCCGAAUCGGUAGGUGGUGGGGUGUCUGACAGGCCAAGGGCUGGAGGCUCACAUGGCGCAUCAUUCGAUGGUCCGUCGGCAAUAGCAGUUGGCCGCAUGACGUCAAGGUAGGCAUGCGUGUCCGUGCGCGCUGGAAGAGUUUGCAGCGCCAGGACUUCUCGUCCGUCGGCAAUAGGUUCUGCCUCGGUAUCAAAGGAGAGAACCUCAGGAGUGGAGCCCGCGGGGUCCUGCCGUUGGUGUGCGGGGGCUGGUGUGGCACCGUCCGAGUCGGCGGGAAUCAGGGGGACGUGCGAGUGUGACGGGAUCGGCACCUGCCAACCUUUGGGUGUGUUCGGAACAGGUAAUGGUAAUGAUGCCGUUCUUGCCUCGUGGAUAGCUUUCCACGCACCAAGGGUGCAUGAAAUCGUAGUAGUGUGUGUGGGCGCGGUCACGGUCGACCUCGUCCCACGGUUCACACCUUAAACGGCGGGGCAUCCAGGUACGGCGUGGGUGGCGGAACGCAAAUGGUACCGCCCCAUCAUGGGGGCACCCGUUGGCGUCCAGAUUCACCUCGUCUUCGGGAACCGGCGACAGGAGAGGGCUCGCCGCGCCAUCACUGAUGGCCGCCCGUACGAGGGGGGAAACUGGGCUGAAGGGCUGCAGAGGCUCAUCGGGCUCAAGUCCAUACAAGACGCGAGCUGCGUCGGCGUCACUCAAGCCCGCCAGCCUUCGUGCAAGCACGGGUGUGUAUCGUAAUGCUGCGUAAUAGCACGCCUCAAGCCGGCUGAGGCUUGCGCCAGGAGCAUGCGGCUGUAGGAGGUAGAGUAGUGCUUCGCAGUAGUAGUACAUGGCGUUCUCAGACGGGGUAGCAGUAGCGCUACCUUGCUGUUAAACGCGGUCGUGUAUCCUUCCCCAGUAUAGCAUCUGCCACUCCCAUACCCAGGUGGGAAAGGGACGGUCUGCGUAGUACCAGGUGAGGCUCUGCCGGGACAUACCCUGGUUGAUGGAGGGGAGUAGCGGUAUGACACCGCACUCAAUGAGUAGUUGGAUAUGUUCAACCAGCGCUGGCUCCAGCUCAGGCACAUACGCGUAGCACAAGGCUUGACAGCUGUCGGCAGACGUAUAGGUCGCGGCCUCGUGUCGGAAGACGAUGAGCGCCUGGUUGAGGAGGGUGUAACCUGCUUGUGGGUCAAACAGGUCAGCCGGCAACCCUUCGGAGUGAAUAAACCAGAGGGCGGCGGCGACUGCUGGGCUGAGUGAGAAGUGUCGGCCCGUUGCUUCCCAGGCGGCGACGGGGGAGUAGCCGGUGAGCAACAGGUCGUGCAGCGCUGCCGUGUAACCAGGCUUGGAGUAGUCAUCCGGGAAAGCCUGGGGCACGGAGCAAUGCGGGCGGGGGAAGACGCUGUAGAUGUUGUAGGGGGUGAGCUCCCACUCACGUGUCCUGGCGUAAUGGUCAUGAUGGCGCCAUAGCUCGAGGGAGAAGGGUUGCAGCUCCCGGGGAUGGCGCUCAACUGCCGGCCAGGUUCAGAUGACGUUCUCAUGCAGCGCCUGCAUGAGGUUGGUGUAAAGCCACGGGUGCAACAACACAGUUGGUUGCCGGUCGUGUAAUCGGUACACGAACCGUGACAGUUCUUCGUGGGUAGCCUGAAGCAUGCUGUCGGGCGCGCCCGUGUAAAAUAAGGCCCACAAGGCCUCAUAAAGUAAGGGACCAUCAAGGUGGAAACCGUUCCGGCGCGCCCACGCAAUGGCAUCCAUGGUGGGUGGUACCAUGAACUUGUGUGAGCGGUCUUCGUCGGUUUGCGUCCCCGGGUUCUCAGUGCCGGUGUUUCCUCCAUCGGUCGCACCGGUUGUGUCAACAUCAUCGAAAUCAUCCGACAUGCGCGAGAUGAUUUCGGUUACCUGCUGCCACUCGGUGUCUUCCGGUGAGGCGGCCUGAGUGUGGGGCGAUGGCACUACUUCGGUGUCCUCCGGUGGGUUGGAACGGGUUCCUUGGGCCCCGCCAGAGAACGGUAUGGCGUCAGACGCCGGAUAGUGGCGUGCAAGUUGUGCACACAUACCCUUGAGCUCGCUUCUCAGCUCAUCCGGAGUGGUUGUGGCCAGAGUAUGGAGCUCCGCAGGGGUGAAGUCCGGCGCGGGACUUCCCAACCUGUGAGUUUGGCGAUGGAGGAGGGUGUGACGUACGAAAACGCACGCCCGUUGCCACCUAGCCUUCCUUUCCGCCUGCCUUGCCGCAGCCCCGUCGGUCCGGGGUUCACCAGCCAGCGGGAAUGGCUGAGUGGCUUCUGCAGCGGCGGGACCGGCCUGGGUCGCCGAGGGGAUAGGAACAGCGGGAGGCGUGUCGUGAGCGAGGGUCAGCUCUCGUACAGCCUCUCGUGCCUGCCUUACCUCUGGCGGCUCAUAGGGUCGGCGGCGUGGGUCGGUAGGGUACUCGAAUGGCGCGGUGUCAAUCGCAAUGGGGCCCACCGUCCUUUCCUCAGGCGCCGGGUUGAUGGCGCCACACGUUUGACCAGGGUUGGUGGCGUGUGCAGGGUCACAUUGCGGGCCCUUGAGGGAGAGGAAAGGGGACGGCGCGUAGGAUGGGCGGUUGACCGUCAUCACGGGUACACGUGUAACUUUCACUGGCUUGAUUGCAAUGUUGCGUAGUCCAGUAGUGAGGUAAAUGGUGGGAAUACCAUCUGAGUUAUUGGUGUUGUCGGUGACGGGCGCCGUAUGACACACAGGCAGCGUGGAGACCGGUGCGUGUGCGUCGGGAGGCUCUGGCAAAACAGGAGGGUAGUCCGUGAUGCCGAGAGUAGCGCCGGGGUCAGCUGGCCCGACAGCGGUAGGGGCUGUCAGGUCUGGGGAAUCACGGUCGCCCGCCAAGGGAGAUUCCGGCCUGGCGUGGUUCCCAGGAGGGUCGCCAGUGGACAUGGAUUGGUCUCGUAUGGCGUGGGUACCAGCAGGAGAAGAAGCCAGCAUCAUCAUCUCGUCCACUGUCAUAGCGGCGAUCUCGGGAGCGCGCACAUAGACAAUGGGGAUCAUGCUUCGGGUUUGCCGGUCGUUGUUGUACAGCAGGUGGUUCCUCUGGUAGCAGAUGGUGGCUUGGAUGGGCCACAAGAAGUCGCAUCCCAGAAGAACACCAUAGUUAAGAGCUGUGCUCACCAGCAUAUCCAGGGUAAACGUCAUGUCACCCAGGGAUACGCGCACCUCUUUGAUGCGCCCAGCGGAGGUGGCCUUAGUGCCGCUGGCGGUGAGGAACUCAACUGACUCCUUCUCGAUGUAUUGGGCGAGGCCAAGACGGCGAAGGGUGUUCAGGGUAAUGACAGAACUUGAGGCCCCGCUGUCUAUAACAGCAGCAACACUCAUGUUCUCACCGUUCACAUCAACAAUGUGUACGGUGGCCCGGCAAACCUGGUAGCGGGACCGCUGGGAGGUGUCGGAGGCAUUGACAGCCUGGGCCAUCGUGCCUGCCGGCGUGACCUCACCCAGAUUGACGGCUGGGCCGGUGGGAGCAUUCACCCGGGCGCCCGGAGCGUUGGAAGCCGUGGGUGGUUGGCGUUGGUUGAUCGGUCCAGGGGGUGGCGGACGAGACGCCACAGGACGUUGAGGCGGCGCGGAGGUUGCACGCGGGUGGUGGUGUUGCGGCGGCGGGUGUUGGUUCGGGCGUCCAGACACUCGCUGCAUAGUGUCACCCUCGCUUGCUUGUCCAGCACCAGCAAUGACGACGUUGGCGUUGUCGUAGAUGUUGAAGGUGUCGUGUAGAUUCACUCCAGAGGUGGCGUUGACAGUAGUAGGGGAGGCGGUGGCGGAGCGGCGGCGAUUGGCAUUGGUACGAAUCACCUGAGUGGCCUCGGUGGCCAUGUGGGUGAGCAUGCGAAGCAUGUCACACCGGAGGGCGACGCCGACCGAGACAUUGCUCUUCAGUACCUUGGACAUCAAGUCCGUCGCGAGACGGCGCUCCUCAGAGUGGGUCUCUGGCGGGAUUCCAGUGGGUACGGGAUCGACACGCGUGUCGGCACCACCGGGUCCACGGGCUUGACGGCCAAUGUCUGCACGCUCCCUGGGGCGAGCAGGGGCGUCAGCUGAGCGUGGGGCUCCACGGACGGGGGUGUUGACGCCGGUAGGGGCACCGGAAGGGGUGCCCGCUCGUGGUUGCGGGGUAGCCUCUCCAGAGCGGUUUCCGGACGUGUAGCGACGGUACGGUCGUUGACGCUCGAAAUCCAUGGUGUCAGGAUCCGUCCGGACGGGCACCCGCUUGGUGGGUAGACGGCUGGGCUCAAAGUCACUCACACGCUUGGUGGUGUAAAUGGCCUCAUCGUCGUACAGUGCUGGCGGGGAGACCCGGUAAUCAUCGUAUCCUUCCCCGAAAUACAUUUCUUCCUGGUCACCGGGCCAGUCAUCCCAUUCGUCCGCGUGGUAUGCAUCGGCGUAACACGCGUCCUCAUAGGUAGCCGUAUCAGUGACCGGGUGGAAGUCAUGCAGUGGGUCAGGGUACGUGUCAAGUAGGCAUGCGCGCGAGUACCCCUCGUCCACUGAGUGAUAGCUCCGUGGCGAAAGCAGGGGUGUUUCGCAGUCAUACCCAACAGGACUGUGAGUGCCAUCCAUCAUGUAAGUCUCAUACAUGUUGGCGGCGGCAGAAGGCGAGGCGUUCUGCGUCCCACUGUUGCGCUCAAGGAGCAGCGUGAGGCGAGCCAAUUGGGAGGCGAGUUGAUCGGCAUCAGCAGCGGUUACCGGCUUUGGGUCAGGCCGCGCCCGUGGGGCGGGUCGGUCAUCCCUUCGCGGCUGGAAGUUAUCCUGCCUACGGUACCUUGCGUCGCGGUCAGAUCGAUUCUCCUGGCUGCCAUUGUUAUAGGGAGGCCGGUUCUGGUUGAAUCGGCCUUCCUGUUGGGGAGUCUCAAAUCGAACCUGCUUAUCACGGGCUGGUUCGGGGUUGGGGGGCCGUGGAGCGGCUUGCAUCACUGGGAGCGCAGCGUUCUCGUUGCGUAACACCUCACUGAUGUAAAUGGCCAGCUCAAUAGCGCGGGAUAGAGUGUGUGGCUCGCCCAGGUGGGUUUGCACACGCACCGUGCUGUUGAGUCCACGCAUAAAAUUAUGCAUGUGGGUGACAUCAGCAUCCCCGUUUAUGCCCAAUUCCGACAGCAGGUGCCGGAACCGGUCACAGUAGGAGCGAACAGUCUCAUCGCGCUUCUGACGGCAAUUGGCAAGGCGAGUGUGUAACUCGUCAGUCCUUACGCCAUACCGUUGUAGAAACGCGACACAGAAACUGUCCCACGUACGGGUUUGCUGGCGUACACCAGCUUCCCACGUACGGGCUUCCUGGCCCAGGCGACAGCGGGCAACAUCCAGCUUCGCCGUUUGCGGCCACCCAAACAACCGAGCGUGGCAAUCGAUAGUUUCCAACCAUUGGCGUGCGCUGUCCUCUGGGAAGAACACCGGGACCGCAGCCACGGAGGAGGGACUAACAGAAGGCAUCGCUGGAGGGUGUUGGAAGGCAAACUGCACUAUAAGGACGGGUUUGUGCGUUAUGGCAUGCGUUAGCAUGCGUUAAGCAUGGAAAUUCCGCAUGCGGCAAGCACGAAAAGUGCGUGCGGUACGCAGGAGGAAGCACACCGCUCGCAUGCGUCAAGGACAAGCACUUACGUUAGCUAACGCAUGGUAGUUGCCAGGACUUGCCGCGCCGCUCCCCUCUGGCUGGCACGCAUGCGUAUGCAUCCUUAGCAUACGCACGAUUAAGCACAAAUAAAGCAAAAAUGCCGGUUGCUUAGAGCUCUACGCAUGGUCUCACGCAUGCGGCACGCCUGUGCUUUACCUAAAGCAAGCUGCCACCCGGCGCUGUGUGCGUCCCGCCCGAUACUGUGCGCGUCCCGCACGGCACAUAAAAUGGGGCACAUGAGGCACCUGAAGCUCUCUUGAUGUGUUACAGUUCAUGCAUCUGCGCUCCGACACGUGCCCCUCGUACUGGUGUCGUGGUGUGCCAAAAUGGUGCAAGUCCGCACGGCUCUCCCGCUCCGUCCCCACACGACCCGCAACCCACCACGUGCUGCACGCACACACUCUGCAAGGUCUGCCAUUGCUACAAAACACUAAACGUACAGACCAGGCAUACUCAGGGUCUCGAGGCAAGUGUGAAGGCAACCGAUACGGAUCCCCUGCCAGCACUACACCCAGCCACCCGCCGAUCACACCAUAACACCAUGCGCGCACAGCGCCGCCUGCCAAUUCCGCUGCCGCCACCUGAAGUCUGCCGCUUGCCGCUAGCCACCUCCGUGCUUUAGCUCGGCCUGCAUGGUGUUUGGAGUAAGUUGGUCAGUGAAUGGUGGCACGGUGUCAUGCUAGCUCUAGGUACACGCAGGGCCUAGACCGCAUUCGGUCCCCUAGAACUAACUUCCCAUGUACGUCAUUCAAAUCCAAUCAUUCAUCCUAUUAUGAGUUGUGUAGCAAUUUCCGAUCAAACUUGCCUGGUGAGGGUUAGAAGGGCCACGCAUUUACGCGCGCUGCGCCCCGAGUCGAAUUCCAGUGCCGGACCUGAGGGGACAAGGGGAGGGGGAGGGGGGGAGCUUCACAUUCUGCAGUUCUGCCUAUGCUCUUACAACUUCGUCCAUACUGCGCAUGGAUGCUAGCUCGCUUGACCCCCUGAAUUUGUUGUCGCUUGUCGACCCCCUGAAUUGGCUGUCGCUAUGUACCUGCCUCACCUGGCACUGUUGAUUCCAGACUCUCUGAUGCUUGAUUUACAUCCUGUAACAGCAGCGUCAAGACCUGGCUUAGUUGUAGACCCGGUCAACGAGGGUCCGACACCCCCUGCGACAGCGCAGCCUAGCCCCAGCACCAGCAGCUCAUCACAUACCUUCCAAAGAUUGAUGCCAGGGCUUAGCAGGACUUGAAGACUCGCCCAGUAGACUUGAGCGCCAACUUUGAAAGCAAGUCCAUUGCCGACUGGCAGAGGACCACGAAGCCUCUACAUGGCACUGAACGAUAAGUAUGUAGCUACAUGUGACAAAGACAGGUUGCUUGAAGAGUGAAGAACUGAACUCGAAAUACAUGAGCCCCAUGCAGCCCCAUGCAACAAGGAACGCGCUCCAUGCUGGGUCUUGAUUUGCUGUGCAUGCUCCGGUCAGACCUUAAAUCAAUCUGCAGCAGGCCGGUGCGUCAGUCUUCAGCGCCGGUCCGGGCACGGGUCUCGCCUCGGCCUGCGCCUCCGCGGCUUGUGCUUAGGGAACCACCUGGAGCUGGGUACCGGCUUUCUCGGCUUCGCAUGGUUCGUCUUUAAAGCUUUCUCAGUAACGGGGAAAGCCUCACAUGCACACGCACCUCCGCUCAUGCCCACCGCCGCAUGAAGGAAGGCCGGGGGAGGCCUGGUGCGCCGGGCAGGAUACGGGGUAAGGCUCACAUGCACACGCACCCUCCUGUGGCGUUGCGGUCUGUCUGUGUGGUGCUAUCGCCUGGCCGGGCGCCCGGAGCGUGAGGAAUGCGCAUCAGCAGACUUCCAGCCAGCCAGGAACUUGUCGGUACAGUAACGCCGGCGUUCGACCAGCCAUGCACUUCUGCUCUGCCACUGCAAACUGUUUGCUGUCUGCUUACGGGUCUGGGCAUCGGCUGCACCCUACGGGACCUCGCCAACCUGCCUUGAACCCUGUCCCAUCACACGCACACGCACCCUCCGCUCACGCCCACCGCCGCAUGAAGACACGCCGGGGAAACGCCUGGUGCGCCGGGCUGGAUACGGUGUAGAGCUCCCAUGCACACGCACCCUCCGCUCACGCCCACCGCCGCAUGAAGACACGCCGGGGGAACGCCUGGUGCACCGGGCUGGAUACGGGGUAAGGCUCACAUGCACACGCACCUCCGCUCACGCCCACCGCCGCAUGAAGACACGCCGGGGGAACGCCUGGUGCGCCGGGCUGGAUACGGGGUAAGGCUCACAUGCACACGCACCUCCGCUCAUGCCCACCGCCGCAUGAAGACACGCCGGGGGAACGCCUGGUGCGCCGGGCUGGAUACGGUGUAGAGCUCCCAUGCACACGCACCUCCGCUCACGCCCACCGCCGCAUGAAGACACGCCGGGGGAACGCCUGGUGCGCCGGGCUGGAUACGGUGUAGAGCUCCCAUGCACACGCACCUCCGCUCACGCCCACCGCCGCAUGAAGACACGCCGGGGGAACGCCUGGUGCGCCGGGCUGGAUACGAUAUAGAGCUCCCAUGCACACGCACCCUCCGCUCAUGCUCACCGCCGCAUGAAGACACGCCGGGGGAACGCCUGGUGCGCCGGGCUGGAUACGGUAUAAGGCUCCCAUGCACAUGCACCUCCGCUCACGUCCACCGCCGCAUGAAGACACGCCGGGGGAACGCCUGGUGCGCCGGCCGGGCUGGAUACGGUGUAAGGCUCACAUGCACACGGGCACCGUGGUUCUGCCCGACACUGUCAAUAAAGGUGCUGACAAGCACCAGUUUGGUUUCGCUCCAUCGCGGCUGCUUGGCACAAUCACCGCCACGCGCCGCGGCAACCCCGGCCGCUGCCGUUUGCCCCGCCCAUGCCUCCCGCUCCCGUGCAGAUCCCGGGCUGAUAGCAGCGCGCAGCAGCGGCAGUCGCCAGCCUUCCUCCCCACCAGCGGCCGGGCAACCGGUGACUGCUGGCCAUGGGCAGCCGCGGCAGCCACAGCCUCUGCCGCGGCUGCUUGGAACAGUCACCGCCACGCGCUGCAGCAACCCCGGCCGCUCCCCCCGUUUACCCUGCUCAUGCCUCCCGCUCCCGUGCAGAUCCCGGACUGAUAGCAGCGCGCAGCAGCGGCAGUCGCCAGCCUUCUUCCCCACCAGCGGCCGCGCAACCGGUGACUGCUGGCCAUGGGCAGCCGCGGCAGCCACAGCCUCUGCCGCGGCUGCUUGGAACAGUCACCGCCACGCGCCGCAGCAACCCCGGCCGCUCCCCCCGUUUACCCUGCUCAUGCCUCCCGCUCCCGUGCAGAUCCCGGACUGAUAGCAGCGCGCAGCAGCGGCAGUCGCCAGCCUUCUUCCCCACCAGCGGCCGCGCAACCGGUGACUGCUGGCCAUGGGCAGCCGCGGCAGCCACAGCCUCUGCCGCGGCUGCUUGGAACAGUCACCGCCACGCGCCGCAGCAACCCCAGCCGCUCCCCCCGUUUACCCUGCUCAUGCCUCCCGCUCCCGUGCAGAUCCCGGACUGAUAGCAGCGCGCAGCAGCGGCAGUCGCCAGCCUUCUUCCCCACCAGCGGCCGCGCAACCGGUGACUGCUGGCCAUGGGCAGCCGCGGCAGCCACAGCCUCUGCCGCGGCUGCUUGGAACAGUCACCGCCACGCGCCGCAGCAACCCCGGCCGCUCCCCCCGUUUACCCUGGCCAUGACUCCUGCUCCCGUGUAGAUCCCGGGCUGAUAGCAGCGCGCAGCAGCGGCAGUCGCCCGCCAUCUUCCCCACCAGCGGCCGCGCAACCGGUGACUGCUGGCCAUGGGCAGCCGCGGCAGCCACAGCCUCUGCCGCGGCUGCUUGGAACAGUCACCGCCACGCGCCGCAGCAACCCCGGCCGCUCCCCCCGUUUACCCUGCUCAUGCCUCCCGCUCCCGUGCAGAUCCCGGACUGAUAGCAGCGCGCAGCAGCGGCAGUCGCCAGCCUUCUUCCCCACCAGCGGCCGCGCAACCGGUGACUGCUGGCCAUGGGCAGCCGCGGCAGCCACAGCCUCUGCCGCGGCUGCUUGGAACAGUCACCGCCACGCGCUGCAGCAACCCCGGCCGCUCCCCCCGUUUACCCUGCUCAUGCCUCCCGCUCCCGUGCAGAUCCCGGACUGAUAGCAGCGCGCAGCAGCGGCAGUCGCCAGCCUUCUUCCCCACCAGCGGCCGCGCAACCGGUGACUGCUGGCCAUGGGCAGCCGCGGCAGCCACAGCCUCUGCCGCGGCUGCUUGGAACAGUCACCGCCACGCGCUGCAGCAACCCCGGCCGCUCCCCCCGUUUACCCUGCUCAUGCCUCCCGCUCCCGUGCAGAUCCCGGACUGAUAGCAGCGCGCAGCAGCGGCAGUCGCCAGCCUUCUUCCCCACCAGCGGCCGCGCAACCGGUGACUGCUGGCCAUGGGCAGCCGCGGCAGCCACAGCCUCUGCCGCGGCUGCUUGGAACAGUCACCGCCACGCGCCGCAGCAACCCCGGCCGCUCCCCCCGUUUACCCUGCUCAUGCCUCCCGCUCCCGUGCAGAUCCCGGACUGAUAGCAGCGCGCAGCAGCGGCAGUCGCCAGCCUUCUUCCCCACCAGCGGCCGCGCAACCGGUGACUGCUGGCCAUGGGCAGCCGCGGCAGCCACAGCCUCUGCCGCGGCUGCUUGGAACAGUCACCGCCACGCGCCGCAGCAACCCCAGCCGCUCCCCCCGUUUACCCUGCUCAUGCCUCCCGCUCCCGUGCAGAUCCCGGACUGAUAGCAGCGCGCAGCAGCGGCAGUCGCCAGCCUUCUUCCCCACCAGCGGCCGCGCAACCGGUGACUGCUGGCCAUGGGCAGCCGCGGCAGCCACAGCCUCUGCCGCGGCUGCUUGGAACAGUCACCGCCACGCGCCGCAGCAACCCCGGCCGCUCCCCCCGUUUACCCUGGCCAUGACUCCUGCUCCCGUGUAGAUCCCGGGCUGAUAGCAGCGCGCAGCAGCGGCAGUCGCCCGCCAUCUUCCCCACCAGCGGCCGCGCAACCGGUGACUGCUGGCCAUGGGCAGCCGCGGCAGCCACAGCCUCUGCCGCGGCUGCUUGGAACAGUCACCGCCACGCGCCGCAGCAACCCCGGCCGCUCCCCCCGUUUACCCUGCUCAUGCCUCCCGCUCCCGUGCAGAUCCCGGACUGAUAGCAGCGCGCAGCAGCGGCAGUCGCCAGCCUUCUUCCCCACCAGCGGCCGCGCAACCGGUGACUGCUGGCCAUGGGCAGCCGCGGCAGCCACAGCUGCUGCCGCGGCUGCUUGGCGCAGUCACCACCACGCGCCGCCGGCGCUCCCCCCGUUUACCCUGCUCAUGCCUCCCGCUCCCGUGCGGAUCCCGGACUGAUAGCAGCGCGCAGCAGCGGCAGUCGCCAGCCUUCUUCCCCACCAGCGGCCGCGCAACCGGUGACUGCUGGCCAUGGGCAGCCACGGCAGCCACAGCUGCUGCCGCGGCUGCUUGGCGCAGUCACCACCACGCACCGCCGGCGCUCCCCCGUUUACCGCGACUACUAGUUAGUACCUAGGUUUAACUCUUCGUAAAUACAUACAACAUAGAGCCUGGCACUCGUUCCUUUGCCUUUGUUUAACAAGGCCCAUCCCUAACGCCUUGCUCAUGGCAAUUGCGUUAUACGUGCUAAUAUGCUGUUUGUUAACGCAGCAAAUGUAGAAGCAAUAGUUUGCACGUUGCAGUGCAGUUGGGCAAUCGCGAGGUUUGGCAAAGUCAUCAUUCGCUAUGUGUCUACACUCUGUGAGUUGAGCAAGUACUUGAGGUGAAGGCUUUGACGGGGCUUGCGUCGGGGGCUUGCGUAUUCGUGGGGCGCAUGCGUCUGCAUGCGUUCCGCAUGCGUGUUUCGCACGCACAACCGAGAGGUUUGCCGCCCUCCCCGCCCCUCAUGCUUCUUGCGUUCCGUGGACGCAUGCGUCCCACCCCCAACGCAUGCUUUACGCACAAAAAGCAGGUGUAACGCACAAACCCGUCCUUAUAGUGCUGAUGUUGCGGUGCGUCGCCACCGUUCAUCCCGGGAUUGGGAGACGGCGGUGAGGAGGGUGGCGAAUCGAUGGUGAAGUUGGAGAGGGGGCGUCCGUACCUGCGAUAAGCAGGGAAAACCCGAGGGUGUCAGUAGCGAUUCAAGGAUAGAAGUAAAUGGGCACUCCGCGUAGGGGGACGCGUGAGGCAGAUCAGAAGCUGACGCGUAGAAUCUGAACCAAAAGACGGGUCCGACGGACAGGUCAAGCAACAGGUUCAGGCAGGGUACGACGGGCUGACCGCACCAAUGCAGGCUGGUAGAACCCAAACCCCAGUAGUGGCAAACAAAGCAGGCGAAGCAAGCAGGUAAUGCGCUCUGGAGACGGGCUGCGGGGAAAGCUGGCCCCCGUGGAGAGUGCCCUGCGACUUGCGCAGCGGGCUAGGUGUCAAACACGCGACAGCAACUAUACACAAAACACGUUUCCCGUAACUCCCCCCACAAAAGGCGCACGCCCAGGAAACCCUGGAAAGUACAAAACUUUUUCGCGCCCACGGGUUGUGUAAUGCGUUGUAGUGCACGGGCUCACGUAUGAAGACGCGAUGAACCGCUUGUCGGUCGUGCCACCACUAAUAACCGCAGGACUGGGGAGAUGCCGGUCACAAGCACACGAACACACGCGCACGGUACGGUACGUACACAGGCACACACACGCGGCCCUUGGACGAAGGUCUUGGCUUCGGGACGGCGGCGGUGUAGAUGCAGCGAACCUUGAAUGGGUUGACGGGAGAUAUGUAUGUACGGGAGUCUCAGGAGUCUCAGGGGUGAAGCAGCAGCCGGGACUCACACACACGCUCACGCACACAGGCAGCAGCAGGGGUCACGGAGCUCUGGGCUCUGGAUGGUCUGCGGCGCUGCCUGGAGGCGGGUGGUGCUAGGCUGACGAAGGAGGCGAAGGGAGAAGGCAGAGAAAGGAGUAGGAGGCGAGGGCAGGGGAUCCCGGGAGUGCAAGGCAGGGACCAGGGCCGGAGCCGGUGGGCGCAAGGCACAACACCAAGCUACUGCGACACAGGGAUCCUAAGCACAGGCACGCGGGAGAUAGGAGUCUCAAAUGCAGGAGGGCUCGAGGCGACCUGCAGGCCCUGCAACACGGAGCGUGAAGCAGGCAAGGGAGCCGGGUGGUGGCUCGCAAAGAAGGGGGAGAAGUAGCACUGGCGCGGCGCAGACGGCAGGCGGUGCUUUGGAGACAGGCGCGGGCAGCUGUAGUCGCUGACGGGGCGCGGAGAAGUAGUCGACGGCUCCUUGAGGACGACGACGAGGGAAACGCAGGGAAACCUGUGAGGGGCCUGUGGCUGGAGAUAGCUGCACAGGACACACCAGCACGAUACAGCGCCGGCCCUUCGGGCCGGCGGAGAGACCGGAGGGGGAGCGCCCGCUCGCGGCGAGAGUCAGAGACAGGGCCGUCAGGCCGAAGGGGAAACAGACAAGCUUGAUUGCUUGUUACAGGAAACUUGGAGAGCUUUAAUUGUUGGUUGAUUGACUCGCACGCUUUGUACUUGUUUGUGUACUUUUUGGUGGAGUGAAGAAACAACUCCGCGCGUGCCCAUUUAAUGACUCGCGCGUCGUGGCCUCUUCCCGUACCAAACUCCAGCUACUUCAGCCACCUGCAGGCCACAGGUCGGCAGGCAAAGACGCUGCUACGCAAUUGCAAAUGUUCAUUCUGUCCAACAGGCCAACUUCAGCGCAUAUUGUACAGGGUAAACAACCAAACCAAAUAAUCAAACCGGAGUCACAAGACACUACACGUCACUACAAGUUCAGUUAGGCAGGUCACCGAAGCCGUGCUUCGAACUAGCAACAAGAAUCCCUUUGCUUGUACACUGUCAACAAAAGAAUAUCCUUUAUCAAACUCAAGCUUCAGGCCUGCUCUCACGUGGUUGAUGAAGUGUCGCGCAACCAUAAGUCAACCGGCCAAUCGUGUGUGUGCCGUGCCAGCCCGACACGUCCCACACACUCACUUAUGCACUGUUCAUACAAUCCCACGGCUCAUAACCUACACGGAAACUCGAUGCAGCAGACAAUAUAGUACAACGCCACCACGGAACGCUCCUCAGCUGGUCUGGGGCGGUUUAGGCUGCGCUCCUCACGGUCUGGGGCACAGCUCCCAUAGGCGAAUUAGGCCUGUGGUAACCGGGUGGUAGGGAGACACAAAACACACAUUUAAACUAUGCAGCAAAGUGUGGCGUGGUGAGAAAUUCUGGCUGCCAUGUAUUCAACCCACAUCCGAAAUGGGGCUGGGUGCGUCCGAAUCAACAGCUGGGCAUGUCCGAAAUGGGGCUGGGCGCGUCCGAAUUGCCAUUCGGAUGGCCGGUCUGGUCCGAACAUUGCGUCCGAAUCUUGGCAUCCGACAAAAGUGUCCGAAAUACUUGUAAUUCGGAUGCUAUUCGGACCGACUUCGGACCAGCUUCGGAGACAAAAACUUCGGACAGGGGUGGGGUCUUUCGGACAGGAACUCGGACCAGCUUCGGAUGGUCUUUCGGACCAGGCUUCGGAUCAGGUUUCGGACAGAUCUUCGGACCAACUUCGGACCAGAUUCGGAUGAGCGGCUUUCCCCGAGUGGCAGGUGUUGUCUCGAGUGGCCCGGGCGCAGGUGCGGUGGGCGGCGCGUGUGCAGGUAGGAUGCCGGCGGGUUGGGCCGCUGUUGCUGUGUCUGCGUCUGUCGUGCCGGCCCCGUCUGGGUGGGGCUGUGUCGCGCGUGGGCGAGCCUGCAGUGGGUGCUUGUAGCAGCGCACGUCUGUGACCGUGGCGUAGCCCAUGCGUGAGAAGGCGGUGACUAGGCCGGGUGGGAUGACAGAUGGCUUCCAUUGGACCGCGAAGUAUGGCUCGCGGGUGUUGGUUGUGUCCUCGCCCGCUUUGCGUUUGCGUGCAAUUUCCUCAUCUGUGACAGUUUGUUGGUUUGUGCGGUACAGGAUGGCCGCCAGCUCCUGGCCAUCAUUAUCCAGGUCGUAGGUAAGCUGCGCAUCCCCGUUGGUGCAGUCAUCGGUGGGAGGGUGGACCAGGUCCUUGACUACACGUUCCCGGGCUAGUUUCCAAAGUGUUUGCUUGCCCCGCCGGCGAGACAGCCUGAGUGGUGAGGCUUGCUGCCUAUCGUCCGCUUCCAUCAGGUCGUGCUGACUAUCGUCCACUUCCAUUUGGUCGUGCUCAGGUGCUGCGGCGUCGACGUCCAUUGGGUCCUCAGCGGCGGCCGCGGCUGGCUGCCCUUGGUGGAAAAGGUAGGUUUGCACGGCGCCAGUAGACGGCAUGGUUGCAUUCGCAGUGAGCAGAGUGGUUAUUGCGGGGGCCAUGGGCCGUUGCGUGCGGGUAACCGGGUUUCGGUUAUUGAAUGAAGGGGGGUCCCUUGGGUGGGGCUUGCAGAGGUGGUUGUGCCUGCUCAUGUCUUUUGCCAGGGCCGUGAACACUGAACGUGCCGUUUCGUACCCUCGUGUGCCAACUGCCAGGCUUUCGUCUCCAUUUGUGAGGCGCAUAGCCGUGCUGAUUGCGGCUUUAUCACUGGUGAGCAGGUCGUCGGGUGUUGUGCGCGUGUUUUCUGCAAUGUGGGCCUUUUGGGCGGCGUGUUUCGUGACGCGGCGGGAGUGGGCAGUUGGGUUUGUGGGAGUGCGCAUGACGGGCGUCUUCCGUGGCCGUGUCCGCAGGUUGGCUUCGGGUUGGGCGACGGGAGCUGCGGUAUCCGCGGCUGGGGCAGGAGUUGGGGCCAUCUGCCCCAAGGCAGUUGGCGUGUAUUGCAAGGGCGGGUUGUGAUAGAGUGGGCUGGCUUCUUCAAUGUCCAUUUGGGUUGUUGUGUUUGGGGCUGGGGUGAAGGGCUGUGGGGCGGGGCCUCCCGUCAUGAGUGCGGUGAGGGGUGGUGCCAUGCCCGGGGGUCGAGGGUCGUUCCGUGCGGAGAGGGCCUGGAGUUCUUCCAGGGGUGGGAUCACACGCUGGGUAGGCGGAAGCGGGUUCGGGCUCCCGUGUUUUUCCGGUGGCAUUUGGUCUCCGUCCAAUCCCGCCGUGGCAACCAGGGCCAGACUCAGCCUGUUGAGUGCAACCUUGUGUUUGUGGCGGACCCUGCUUGCCCCCAGGAGUUUCUCGAGCUCCCGGGUGCUAAUCAGAUGGCGGCUCAUAUUGCGGUCGACCAAGUGGCUGAAUUCGAGCUGGAGUUCCGCUAGCGGGAGCACGUGUUCGUUCGACAGGGAGGGGUGCUGCCGCACGCGCUGCAGCUGCGGCGUCCAGGGCCUCGACAAUUGACCAGGUAGGGGUGGUAUACGGUGUGCCCUUGUAGAAGAGCUGUAUACCAUGCUCACGAGCGAGGGUCAUCUGUUGCAGAGUUGUGAAGAAGCGCCCUCUGUCUGCAGGUAGGUGGUGUGCGAGGCUCGCACCCGCCAGGCUAUGCUGCCGUGGCAGGAGGGCACGGGUAACCACGCCCAGUCGGCCUGUGUCGUUUAGAGCAAGGACAAGCGCGCGGUUGGCCACACGCGCGUACUUGGGUAAGAGUGAGCCCAGUCCUAGGCCAUAUUCAUCGAUUGGGAGAAGGGUGGUACGGGUAGGGAAGCUGCGUGGCAGCCCAUAGCACCGUUUUGCGUAUCCGGCCAGUGUAGCGUCAAAGUUUGCGAUGUCCUGUUUCGUGUAUGGCAUCGCAGCAAAUGCAUAGGCGAUUGAGGUGUGGACGCAUUGCUGCAGCAUGCGUAGGCGUUGUGCCGGCGUGGCCAGUGACGUGGCUAUGGCCGUGCCCUUUUCUUUCACAGUUUCAGUGACGUGGGAGACUUGCGCCUUCCAGUCUAGUGAGAAGGUGAGUUGCACCCCCAGGUAUUUGUAGGGUUUUGUGGGCGGGUAGUACGGUACAGUGGUGUUACCAAUUCGUAGCUUGUUAGUCAGUUCACGGUGCAUCGCGUUCAGCGUGGCUUGGCCGGUGGGUCCGUCAAGGGUCGGGGUGGACCGGGACUUGUUGUGCCAGAUGGCGGUAGUUGCGCACUUGGUGUGAUUGACUCGCAGGCUUGCCCAGUCUGCAUAGUCCGAGAUUUUGUCACAUUGGAUCUGCAGGUCUUCCAGCGUUGUGGUCAGGGCCGCCAAGUCGUCAGCGUACGCGGCGGCGCUGCAGUGGUACCGUGCAUUGUCUUCCGGGCUGAGGCAUCCGUAGCGGUAGCCCCGCCCACCUGCGUGGAGCCACCGCACAAGCGGUUCCAUGAACAAGAUGAACAGUACAGGUGACAGGGUGUCACCUUGCACCGUGCCACGUUCUAUUGGGAUGGCGGAUGUGCAUCCAUGUUCAGUACGAAUGCGGGUGGUGGCGUGCGCGUAUAGGUUGCGGACUGCGCGUAUCAGGUCGUCAGGCAGGCCCAGAUCGAACAUAAUCUGGAGUAGCCUGUCCUGAUCGAUUGUGUUAAACGCAGAGCUGUAGUCAACAUACACUGCGUAUACGUCUUUCCCAUACAGGGCAGCGUCCUCCAGUACAUGCACAAGGUUCAGUAUCUGCCGUUCCGUGUUGCAGUAGGCCUGGAAGCCCUCCUGUGAUUCGCUGAACAGCUGGAGUGGGCCUGCCAGUUCGCCGAUGCCCAGGGUGAGCAUAGAAGUGUACAGUUUAUAGCAAGUGUUGGCUAGAGCGAUGGGCCUCUUGUUCUUGAUGUCAAGAGCGUCCCCAGGUUUUGGGAGCAGGACCGUGUCCGAAGUGGCCCAGGACUCCGGGAUUGUGGACUUGACGUACAUGAUCUUCAGUGUGUUGUGUAGGGCUCGCUUCAUGCCAUGAGGCAAGAUGCGGAGCAGCUCGUUCGGAAUGCCGUCUGGGCCCGUGGCUUUGUUACGAGAGAGGUGGGCGAUACAGUGGUCAAAGUUGGCGGGGUCUGCCAUGCUAGAAAGCAUGGAGUGUGCUUCCGGGUGCUUGUUACGCUCAAGCGUAAAGGCAUCCGUAGCGUUAGGUAGUUCGAACGGGUACCCACGCAUUGCGCCAGGCGACAGGCGAUAUUCACCUGUGCGGGGCCCUCGUGGGGGGGCUGACAGUUUGCGGAAGUGGCCUUCCAGGGCGGUUAGAAUGCUGGGGGGGUCGGUUACCACCUCGCCUGUUUCAGGGUUGCGGACCGCGGGGAGGCCACGUUCGGUUGCUUCUUUCUGAAAGAUACGUAUGUGGUAUGUUUUUUUUUUUAGGAAUCAUCCUUACAAGGUUGAACAGGGGCAGACGCGCUGCCCCCCUGCUGCCUGAAAGCAGCCUGUUCCCCGAGACCAGAACCCUGACAGGGCAAGAAGAGAAGAAAAGAGAAGAAAACAGAAAGCAAACACCUCGAGACCGCCACCAACCACCCCCAUCCAUCCCACCCACCCCACCCCGACCCGGCAGACAGAGCAGGAGGCUGGCCCCCCCGCCCCCCGGGAGGGGUUGCACAAAAACACCGCCAGACCUAACCCAAGCACCAAACUAUACCACAGCCUAAUUGCAAGAACCACCACCACCGCGCGCCAGAAAAGAAAACACCAGCGCUACGCACUCGCCCCGCCCAAACCCACCCCACCCCCACAAGUCGGUUGCUUAAGCAACACCCCAGGAGAACCGGCAGAGGAGACACAAGCAGAAAACUAAACGGGCCAGAUGUGGAGCUGACUAAGCGGGCUCCAGCCCGCUGCAAGACGCGCUGUGCGGGAAGUCCCACAGCCGCCCAGGCGCUGCGACGCCAGCCAGAGCUAAAACACAUGGGCGCCAGAUAAGCCGAUGACGAUGAAAUGCCACGCCAGCGCCUGGAACGAACCGCCGCCCAAAAGGAAACCUAGGGGGCCUGCACAGGUGAUGCAAGCGUCAGCCACAAGUUCAACUUCGGUGACCCACCCUGAACCUCCUCCACUUCACAAAGCGCGCCACCCGCCGACCAGAUGGCAACAAAGUGCUCCAGCUUAGCCGCCUUGAGCUGUGCGGUGAGAAGCUGAGUGGGCAGAGCCGACAGGGUUUCAGGGGUUAGCGUGGCGGCAGUGAAACGCAGCUGCAUCACCCUGCGCAGCUCGCUGACCACCUCCCGAACCACAUGCUCCGACGUCUGCUUAGCAGAUGCAGCCACUGACGUCCUUUCUGCGGCGGCAGGUGGAGCAAGGGGCACUGCGCACGCCCCUGUUACCCAGCGGCGAGCAGGCGCCACCUGCUGCCCACCACGCUGACGACACGACCCUCACGGCGCGCGACCCGGCGGUGGACGGGCCGGUCCUGAUGGUGGCAGUACUGCUGUUCUGCCGCGCGUCCAACGCCCGUGUCCAUUCGGACAAGAGCAAGGCCAUGGGCCUUGGCAGGUUUGCGCACCUGACGGGCCCUUGCCCACACACGGGGGUGCCGUUUACCACUGGCGCCGUGACGCACCUGGGUGUGCCCCUGUCGUGGGACUCUGAUGCGGCUGCAGCUGACUUGUACACCCGGCGGUCUCGCGGCAUGGCGUUUGUGGCGCGUCUGUGGGCUGCCCUGUCUCUGACUCUUGUUGGCCGUGUGCACAUUGCGAAGCAGGUGCUGGCGGCGAAGCUGGCCUACCACUUCAGCUUCCUCAACCCGUCGCCUGCGCAGCUGAAGGAACUCACCGACCUAGUGGACCACUUUGCUGCGCGCUCCAUGCACGCUGAGGACGCCAGCCUGGUGUCGCACGGGAACCCGCUCCUGCUGCCAAAGCGGGAGACGGCCUGUCUGCCGUACAAGGAUGGGGGUGUCAACCACGUCGACCUGCCUGCGUUCCUGUCUGCCCUGCAAGCUAAGAUUUUCGCCCUCCUUGCCCAGCCAGGCCGGCAACCCUGGAAGAUGCUCACCCGGGCGCUGCUUACCCAUGUGCGCCCGGACUCCGCCACCACGUGGGCGUGGGUGUACAGCGACGCGCCGGCGCCAGCGGGGCUGCCUGCCCGGCUUUUUUUUUUUGAGGAAUCAUCCUUACAAGGUUGAACAGGCUGGCGGCCGCGGUCGGCCACGUGCGGAGCGCGGGUGUGGAACAGCAUCCGCCGCAGCCAGCCUUACCUGCCUUGCGGGCUGUACAGGGCGGGCAAGGGCAUUCGGCCACGGGUGACCACGGGGUGCGGGGGGUUGGGGGCGCACUGUCCUCACCCCGCCUGCGGGCCACCUGGCCCGCGGGCGUGGGCCAGCCUGACGCACAUCUUCCUGGAGUGUCCAGCUUAUGCGCAGGCGAGGACGUGGCUGCAGCAGCUGUGGGCCUGCGUUGCGCCCCAGGCAGCGGCGCCGCCAGUGACGGACGCGGGCUUCAUGCUGGGGGACCGCAUGGGUAUGUGGGCCUCAGGCCCGCGGGGGGCGGGCGCGCUGCUGUGGAGCACUUUGCGGGCCACCUUCUUGUACGCCGUUUGGUUUUUUUUUUGAGGAAUCAUCCUUACAAGGUUGAACAGGGGCAGACGCGCUGCCCCCCUGCUGCCUGAAAGCAGCCUGGUCCCCGAGACCAGAACCCUGACAGGGCAAGAAGAGAAGAAAAGAGAAGAAAACAAAAAGCAAACACCUCGAAACCGCCACCAACCACCCCCAUCCAUCCCACCCCACCCCACCCCGACCCGGCAGACAGAGCAGGAGGCUGGCCCCCCCGCCCCCCGGGAGGGGUUGCACAAAAACACCGCCAGACCUAACCCAAGCACCAACCUACACCACAGCCUAACCGCAAGAACCACCACCACCGUGCGCCAGAAAGGAAAACACCAGUGCUACCAACACUCGACCCGGCGUAACCCACCCCACCCCCACAAGUCGGUUGCUUGAGCAACACCCCAGGAGAACUGGCAGAGGAGACACAAGCAGAAAACUAAACGGGCCAGAUGUGGCGCUGACUAAUCGGGCUCCAGCCCGCUGCAAGACGCGCUGUGCAGGAAGGCCCACAGCCGCCCAGGCGCUGCGACGCCAGCCAGAGCUAAAACACAUGGGCGCCAGAUAAGCUGAUGACGAUAAUACGCCACGCCAGCGCCAGGACAGAAACGCCGCCCAAAAGGAAACCUAGGGGGCCUGCACAGGUGAUGCAAGCGUCAGCCGCAAGUUCAACUUCGGUGACCCACCCUGAACCUCCUCCACUUCACAAAGCGCGCCACCCGCCGUCCAGAUGGCAACAAAGUGCUCCAGCUUAGCCGCCUUGAGCUGUGCGGUGAGAAGCUGUGUGGGCAGAGCCGACAGGGUUUCAGGGGUUAGCGUGGCGGCAGUGAAACGCAGCUGCAUCACCCUGCGCAGCUCGCUGACCACCUCCCGAACCACAUGCUCCGACGUCUGCUUAGUAGGCUCGCGGGACCAGUACGCACACCAGACGGCGUACAAGAAGGUGGCCCGCAAAGUGCUCCACAGCAGCGCGCCCGCCCCCCGCGGGCCUGAGGCCCACAUACCCAUGCGGUCCCCCAGCAUGAAGCCCGCGUCCGACACUGGCGGCGCCGCUGCCUGGGGCGCAACGCAGGCCCACAGCUGCUGCAGCCACGUCCUCGCCUGCGCAUAAGCUGGACACUCCAGGAAGAUGUGCGUCAGGCUGGCCCACGCCCGCGGGCCAGGUGGCCCGCAGGCGGGGUGAGGACAGUGCGCCCCCAACCUCCCGCACCCGGUGGUCACCCGUGGACGAAUUCCCUUGCCCGCCCGGUACAGCCCGCAAGGCAGGUAAGCAUGUUGCAGCCGGUACACCAGCACCUUUGCCCCCCGACUGGCGUGGCUGUCCCACAGCCUCCGCCACGUACCCCGCAGAAGGGACGCAUCCGGGGGCGGCAUGCGAGGGUCGCCCUCCACCGCCGCCGCUGCUGCCGCCGCCGCCGUGGCAGGCCCAGUGCUAGGUCCCGCCCCUCCCGCCGCCUGCUCCUGCAGCCGCGCGGACCGCCGCGGCCCCUCACCCGACUGCUGGGACGGGGACGCAUACGACUGCAGUUCUCUCGCCGGCGUGUUCUGCAGCCCGGCUGCCGCGGAGGUGCGGUGGAGCCAGGGGUCCAGAGCUACCGGGUUAUUGUGGAAAUGCUGCGCCGCCGUGGUGGUCAGCUGCGCCGCUGCACGCUGCCACUCCGCCUCCCGCUCCGCCAGCCGCGACUGUGCCGCCGGCUGGGUCCCCGAAUCCCCCGACUGCUGUGUUGGCGCCGGGCACGGCAUGGCUGCGGGGCGGGCCGGAGCCGGAGGUGCGGCCGGGUUGGCCGCGGUGAUGGCCCGCCGCACGUCCCGCACCUUGUAGUCCGCUAAGCUGACACCCGCAAUCCGGCAGUGCUCCGGGUGCACCACCACCCCAGCCUCCGGCGCCAGGAAGUAUGGCGCCCGAGGCCACACCCCCGCCCGGUCCCCUGGUGAUGCUGCAUCGUACACCGCCCGCUCUUCAAAGGUCCACAGGUGCCGCGGCUUGCGAUGCUGCAGCACACAGGCAGGCUGCCACGCCCCAUCCACCGCCGGGGGCAGCACGCCAGGCCCAGGCUCCAAGAGCCGCCCCGUGUAAUGGACGUAGGACACAGCCCCCGCAGCGUUAGCCACCCACAGCUGGUCCCAUAUGGGACCACGGGGCCCCAUACAAAGGGCCACCCAACACACUGCUAACCGCAAUCAGCCGCAGCUCACACCCUAUCUCACACCACUUGGUCCUUACCUUGACACAAGCCGGCCUCGAUUUGCGAAACCUUGUAGGUAAAGAGCGUACACCCGAGGGGCGCGCAUGCCUCAUUCCUUCUGAUAUCCUCUUCCAACACCUGCCACGCAACCAAUGCCAGCAUAAGCACCGAGUGGCCCUAAACCGCCUUAGCCUAUGCCUGAGCGCGGAAUGCGAUGGUGCCCGUGAGGCACCUUUCAACCAGGCUGAAAACUACAAAUGUCACUUACCCCUUCCGCAGCGAUACAGAGCCCUCCCCAACACGCCAGCCUUUGCCGCCCUCCUACCCCGCAAUGCCACCCCGGGCGAGCUAACAACCCAAUCUACGAUGGACGCCCACCUCCAACACAUGACUGCAUUACACCCCAAUACCGAGGCUCAACCACCCCAACACCCAAAUGGCCUAGGCCCCCGCCAGCGCCAAACCACGUUAGCCCACAUGCUGAGAACAACAGGUGCCCCACCCACAGCACCAACCCAGUCGCCAACGGCAACUCUAACCCAAACUCCGACAGACACACUGCCUACCCCGCCACUAGCGCAACCCAUGCCACCGCCACUAACACAGCCCACGCCCCCACUAACAACACCAGCGGGCCCGGACGCCCCCAACACCCAGACACCACCCACAGUAGCGUCCCUCACAACGGCCCACCAGCAGCCAAAAAGUAAGAAACAACGACCCAACGCCAUCAAGCGCCUACAGCAAAAGAUUGCUGCUGACCCCCGGCACGACCCACUGCCACCUACCGAUAUGCGCAGCCACACAGAGAAAUCUGGCUUUAUACUACGACAACUACGACUAACAACGACCCAGACGAAAAUGACUCCGGUCCCCCGAACUUUGUCAUGUGGGCACCACACUACUUUGCCAAUGUACAAAAAGACAUGCAAGGAACCAACCGCAUGCCUCGACUUGGAAUUCCCCGCCACCACAGCAAGUUCCCGCAAAACCGCACUCGCCCCAACCCGACCCGUACAACCCCAGCCCACCUCGCAGACCCCUACUUCCUGGGCAGUCAGGUGGACGACACCAAUCCGCUAAACCCCGUCACAGCUUACAUAUCCGCAAACCCGCCAACAACACCUCCCACCUGUGCUUAUGACUCCCGACCGAGAUGGGCAGACACUGGGGAUUUCAUGAUUGCACCUGAGCCUCCAAACUGGCCGAACAUCACUGGUGCCACACCGGGGGACAGCCACGACCCCCGCCAGGCUGACCACGACCCACAAGGACAAAUGCGUGCAUAAUAUAUGCAGGAGCGUGAACGCCUCCGUGCACACUUGGAUGACCACCCACCCCAACCAAGACCCUUCAAGCGUUGGAUGGGAAUCCGACUCCAGCUCCUGACAGGCAAACUACCCUGGCCGACGCAGGCAUACCACGUUGCCCAAGCAGCGAAGCAACUAGUGUACUCCCUGUACCACGACAUUGAGGAAAUCUCACACAUUCAAGCUGGGCCCAUCACUAAAGCCGUCACUGCCCCAGAGAAGGGUGACAGUCUCCACACCGAGCGCUACUAUGAGGUAGCUUGGAAGGACACAACCAUCGUUAAAGGAGCGGCUGAGGCCUACACCCGCAUGAAGUAUACUGGGACUGCUGCCGCACACAUGGGAUACGGGCAAGCGUGCUGCAAACAUUUCCUGCGCAUGAAAUGGGACCCCACCAGCGAACCCGUAGACAAAUGCCCCACCCUCCAAGGGUGGACCCCUGCCAUCUCCGAACACUUGCGGAAACUUGCAGAACCCCCUACACCCAUGCCACAACCCAAGCCCAAAGACGCCCGUCUUACACCUGCCCAACAGCAAGGGCGAUGGACGCAAGCCGACGUGGCCGCGUCCCACGUCCGACGUACCACCAAACAGAACACGCGCAUUGACACCAACCCGUGCAACCCCUACCUCGACGUCCACCCCACCGGAAGGUAUACAAUCCAAAUCCCAGACACGUACACUGAUGAACGCACCCUCGCCCACGUCUACAGCCCUACCGGACGCCACAUAGCAUCCAUUACGCUAGGCACCUUGCUGACUCUUAAAGCUCGGUAUGAACACGCCCUAUCUACCCACCAUGACGCAACCAGCCCGCACCGAUCUCAAGGGGGCUUCCCGGAAGACCUGGCUAAACUGCUACUCCGCGCUCGGGUAGACAGCAAAGGCAAGACAUGCAAGUCGGCCCCCGCACGUGAGCGCUCUCUCCCCGAGUCCCUGAAGCUGGCGCUGUAUAACUGCCUUGCCUCGACACACUCAGACCCUGACCGCCCAGUGGGGCUGGUGGAACGCUUUGCCUCUCCACUCAACUGCUCGGGCCGGGCCACUAAAUAUUACAGCCAACACGCAGCUGACUCCCUCUUCGGGGCCUCACAUGAUGCGUACACGGCCCCGUUUGAUGGCCUUUCCCUCGCCCACCCUGACCCUGACCCAGACGCCUGCACAAAGGCACUGGCGUGGGCAACAGCAUCGAUCGAACACCUAGAACACCAGGCCACCCCCGCCAUUACCUUCAUGAUUAUCCCACAAGGCAAAGGCGCCGCCAGCCGGUGCCUUGCGAGUCCGCAUGUCACCAUCCUGGCCCUGAUUCCGCCUGGCGUAUCCGCCUCUAGCAUGUUAGAUGGCCUCGGGGCGGCCGACGAGGCUGCCAGCAGCAAGCAGGGCCUGCAGCUACUCCUCAUUGCGAACACCACAGGGGUACAAGCACUCAACUCCAACAACAACCUGACACGUCUCCAAACCUCCCUGGCCGAACUUGGAGCAGUGCCGCCACCGACCUCGCAACCCCCAGGGCGCCGACAACCACUGGAGUGGCCCGCGCGCGUAACCCUCCCCCGUGACCGCACAGCCCCACCGGGCCGACCAUACAGCCACCGUGCAAAAGCCCGUGCAAAGCAGCUAACUAGACCCCAAGCCCCAGCAGCACGGGGCCUGGACACAUGCCCUACGCCCAUGCCCACGCUCUCUGCCCUCUACACCACACGAGCUGCCUUCCCCACUCGGAGCAGAUACCUGUACGAUGCCGCCACCAUUGUUUGGACCGACGGAUCUUGCAUCAAAGUUGCAGCCGGUGAAGAUGGCAACAAAAUGAACAAACUCGGUGCCUGCGCGUGGUCCCAACAGACCGAACACAUCUACGUCGAACCAGGCGGCCUCAACAGCACCAACACAAUCCAGAGAGCCGAACUAUCAGCCAUUCUCGUUGCGUUAGAAUACAUCCGCCCCCGACUCUGUCUGCUGGGCAUGACCCAAGUAACCAUAGCCAGUGAUUCCCUAGUGUCUCUCUAAUUGAUCCGCCGAGCCCUUACUGCACCACAACGACUCCUACUAUCCAAGCAUAAAAACCUGCUGGAAAACAUACUCCACGAGCUACAAAUGUAUGCCGACGCCGGGGUCCCAGUCCAGCUGCUAAAAGUCCGCUCUCACACAGGGCUCCACGGCAACGAGGAAGCUGACAAAGGUGCCGCCAAAGUCGCCGCCAACGACAUGGAGGCCAUGGGGCAGGCCAUACGCUUAGCACCAGACGAACCGUGGUCCAACAUCUGGUGGCCCAAACGCAACUCUGACAAUUUCUACCUAAGUGACCUAAACCGUGGAGUCCUGAACUCAUUGCCCCCCGAAGCACAACAAGGCUUUACCAAUAAUACACCAGUGCUGGAGCAAUGGGCGGAAGCAUCUGCCAAUAAUAAUAAUAAUAAUUACAACGCCGGCCCAUAGGGCCUGGCAUGGAUUAACGGGGCAAGGUGACUAGGGCGAGAGGGCCCGCCCCCCUCACGCUGACGCCUCACCACGAAAGAGUCACAACCUCCAAACUACAACCUCCAUGUCCUAGGCCGCUCUUCAAAGUCCACUACGUCCAAGCCUGCACACCUAGCAUAUCGAGCUAGGGAAACGCCGCGUUAUAGUAGUGGAGCACUGCCAGUUCGUGCAAACCGAGGAGCCAUGGCGCUCCUCCUCGAGCCUUGGAUCUUGAGCCUUGUCUUGAACCUUGGACCUCGCCACUAAAUCGGACUUCUGCACCACGACCUUUCUAGGUUGCAGCGGGCAUAAGCCCGCAAUUGCCACUAAGGGCAAUUACCUGUCGUUCGUGGGAUCACCAAUCGGUUUCGCACCAAUCUUUCACCUUUUGCAUAAUUGGGCUUUUAUCCGGAUUCGUACCCGGGUCCCUUCUGCUGUAAGGACGAGUCAAAUCGCUAACCAGCUAGGCCGGGGGCCUGAUUGUGCACACCCUCCUCCUCUGGGCGCGAGGCGGGGGAGGGGG
RNAcentral lists this long non-coding RNA (40077 nucleotides) under Chlamydomonas reinhardtii. RNAcentral's name for it is "long non-coding RNA (CREI_LNC000136)". The record is from RNAcentral. Lineage: Eukaryota; Viridiplantae; Chlorophyta; Chlorophyceae; Chlamydomonadales; Chlamydomonadaceae.